Molecule: ribosomal RNA, 253 nt
Filed under: uncultured bacterium
Lineage: Bacteria
Description: partial 16S ribosomal RNA
Rfam family: Bacterial small subunit ribosomal RNA
Source: RNAcentral
UACGUAGGGGGCAAGCGUUGUCCGGAUUUAUUGGGCGUAAAGAGCGUGUAGGCGGUUAGGUAGGUCCGUUGUGAAAACUCGAGGCUCAACCUCGAGACGCCGAUGGAAACCAUCUGACUAGAGUCCGGAAGAGGAGAGUGGAAUUCCUGGUGUAGCGGUGAAAUGCGUAGAUAUCGGGAGGAACACCUGUGGCGAAAGCGGCGCACUGGACCACAUCUGACGCUGAGGCGCGAAAGCUAGGGGAGCAAACAGG